UCCAUUGUGGUGUAGUUGGUAACAUACAAGCCUUUCACGUUUGUGCCCGGGUUCGAUUCCCGGCGAUGGAA
RNAcentral lists this transfer RNA (71 nucleotides) under Entamoeba histolytica. RNAcentral's name for it is "tRNA-Glu". It matches the Rfam family "tRNA". Rfam says of the family: Transfer RNA (tRNA) molecules are approximately 80 nucleotides in length. Their secondary structure includes four short double-helical elements and three loops (D, anti-codon, and T loops). Lineage: Eukaryota; Evosea; Mastigamoebida; Endamoebidae. The record is from RNAcentral.